GACGAACGCUGGCGGCGUGCCUAAUACAUGCAAGUAGAACGCACAGUUUAUACCGUAGCUUGCUACACCAUAAACUGUGAGUUGCGAACGGGUGAGUAAACCGUCGCUAACCUGCCUGAUAGCGGGGGAUAACUAUUGGAAACACUAGCUAAUACCGCAUAAUACUGAUUAUUGCAUGAUAAUUGAUUGAAAGUUGCUAUUGCAUCACUACCAGACGGCCCUGCGUUGUAUUAGCUAGUAGGUGAGGUAACGGCUCACCUAGGCGACGAUACAUAGCAGACAUGAGAUGGUGGUCGGCCGCACUGAGACUGAGACACGCCCCAGUGGGAUAGGGGAGGCAGCAGUAGGGAUUCUGCAGCAAUGAGUGAAAGUCUGACCGAGCAACGCGGCGGGAGUGAGGAGGGUUGUCGGAUCGUAGAGCUCGGUUGUAAGAGAAGAACGGGUGUGAGAGUGGAAAGAACACAGUGUGACGGUAUCUUACCAGAAAGCGACGGCUAACUACGUG
RNAcentral lists this ribosomal RNA (505 nucleotides) under uncultured bacterium. RNAcentral's name for it is "partial 16S ribosomal RNA". It matches the Rfam family "Bacterial small subunit ribosomal RNA", at positions 28 to 507 of the family's 1533-position model. The record is from RNAcentral.